GAGUUUGAUCGUGGCUCAGAUUGAACGCUGGCGGCAUGCCUUACACAUGCAAGUCGAACGGCAGCACGGGAGCUUGCUCCUGGUGGCGAGUGGCGAACGGGUGAGUAAUGCAUCGGAACGUAUCCUGGAGUGGGGGAUAACGUAGCGAAAGUUACGCUAAUACCGCAUAUUCUGUGAGCAGGAAAGCGGGGGACCUUCGGGCCUCGCGCUCUUGGAGCGGCCGAUGUCGGAUUAGCUAGUUGGUGAGGUAAAGGCUCACCAAGGCGACGAUCCGUAGCAGGUCUGAGAGGAUGAUCUGCCACACUGGAACUGAGACACGGUCCAGUCUCCUACGGGAGGCAGCAGUGGGGAAUUUUGGACAAUGGGGGCAACCCUGAUCCAGCCAUGCCGCGUGAGUGAAGAAGGCCU
Molecule: ribosomal RNA, 408 nt
Filed under: bacterium enrichment culture clone ALO1_GLFRUDD03G47O5
Lineage: Bacteria
Description: bacterial SSU rRNA
Rfam family: Bacterial small subunit ribosomal RNA
Source: RNAcentral